AGUAAUGUAUGGGGAUCUGCCUGAUGGGGGGGGAUAACUACUGGAAACGGUAGCUAAUACCGCAUGAUGUCUGCGGACCAAAGCGGGGGGACCUCCGGGCCUCGCGCCAUCAGAUGAACCCAUAUGGGAUUAGCUUGUAGGUAAGGUAACGGCUUACCUAGGCGACGAUCCCUAGCUGGUCUGAGAGGAUGAUCAGCCACACUGGGACUGAGACACGGCCCAG
RNAcentral lists this ribosomal RNA (223 nucleotides) under uncultured bacterium. RNAcentral's name for it is "partial 16S ribosomal RNA". It matches the Rfam family "Bacterial small subunit ribosomal RNA", at positions 109 to 334 of the family's 1533-position model. The record is from RNAcentral.